This 60-nucleotide transfer RNA is filed under the name Eurydice pulchra. Its description in RNAcentral is "tRNA-Pro". The record is from RNAcentral. Lineage: Eukaryota; Metazoa; Arthropoda; Malacostraca; Isopoda; Cirolanidae.
CAGAGUGUAGUUUAAUAAAAAUAUUAGCUUUGGAAGCUAGCGACGGGCAACCCUCUCUGA